GCUAAAAUAGUUUAUUAUUUAGAAUUUGUAACUUGUAAUUACAGGGUUUUUUUAGCA
RNAcentral lists this transfer RNA (57 nucleotides) under Oesophagostomum columbianum. RNAcentral's name for it is "tRNA-Thr". The record is from RNAcentral. Lineage: Eukaryota; Metazoa; Nematoda; Chromadorea; Rhabditida; Strongylidae.